GGUUCUGUAGUGUAAUGGCUAGCACCCGGGAUUCUGAUUCCCGUAAUCUGGGUUCGACUCCCAGCAGGACCU
This 72-nucleotide transfer RNA is filed under the name Tuber melanosporum (Perigord truffle). RNAcentral describes it as "tRNA-Gln (CTG) (tRNA-Gln-CTG-1-1)". It matches the Rfam family "tRNA". From Rfam's summary of the family: Transfer RNA (tRNA) molecules are approximately 80 nucleotides in length. RNAcentral also lists the same sequence under 4 other names. The record is from RNAcentral. Lineage: Eukaryota; Fungi; Ascomycota; Pezizomycetes; Pezizales; Tuberaceae.